Molecule: non-coding RNA, 71 nt
Organism: Podarcis lilfordi (Lilford's wall lizard)
Lineage: Eukaryota; Metazoa; Chordata; Lepidosauria; Squamata; Lacertidae
Source: the annotation of a GenBank genome assembly
GGGAUAGCUCAGUCGGUACAGCAUGAGACUCUUAACCUCAGGGUUGUGGAUCUGAGCCCCACAUUGGAUUA